GAGCCACCAGCUAAACUGUACACAGUAGAUUUUUUCAUAUAUGUGAGGAUAAAUCUCUAAUCUCCACGUUACUGGAAGCUAAUGAGCUCUGCUCCUCCUGACUUGCUCUCUCUCAAAAUACUAAUCUGAGAAAUUACUUGGUUAAACGAAAAUGUCUUCUCUGCAACUCUCAGGUUGCAGAGCGUCUGAUAUCUCAUCAACACCCCUCGUUUUUGGCGCCGCUUCGUCUUCGUUUUGGAGUAGAUGCUCCAGUCUCUCCAACGGAAUAGUUAUCUCUACUCUCCGGCCUAAGCAGAAGGUUCGUUUCUGUGGAGGAGGAGUACUACUUAGGGUUUACGCCGUGUCGAGCGAUUCGUGUUCUUCGUUCAAGAUGAAUCUCAACGAGUACAUGGUCACUCUCGAUAAACCUCUCGGUAUUCGUUUCGCAUUAUCCGUAGAUGGCAAAAUCUUUGUCCAUUCUCUCAAAAAAGGGAGUAAUGCGGAGAGAUCGAGGAUAAUUAUGGUCGGGGACACACUGAAGAAGGCGAGUGAUUCAUCUGGUGGCAGGCUUAUUGAGAUCAAGGACCUUGGUGAUAUGCAGAAGAUGCUGACAGAGAAGACAGGUUCAUAUAGCCUUGUUCUUGAAAGGCCUUUUUAUCCCUUUCCAAUUCAACUACUGCAUCUUUCGAGUGAUCUUGAUAAUUUGUAUAAUAGAGGUCGUGCAGCUAUUGCCACUUGGAACAAAUCUGUCUUGGCAUCAAAUUUAGAAAAGUUUCCAGAAGGCAGUAGAAAUUCUGGUUUUGUAAUGUUCUCCUCAAGGUUUCAAUCACCGCAUGGAUGGAAGCUUCUAAAUAAUCAAAAUGUACACGUUCAACCGUUGGCACAGAAGAAUAUUCUAGCACCAUCUGUUACCCAAGUUGUUUCUAUUUUUUCAGAAGAAGAGCCAGGCAGUGGGGAAUGGAGUCAUGGGAACUUUCCUCUGGAGGAAUACACAAAAGCUCUUGAACGCUCAAAAGGCGAGCUAUACUAUAAUCAUUCUCUUGGAAUGCACUACAGUAAGAUUACAGAGCAAAUAUAUGUGGGGUCAUGCAUACAGACAGAAGCUGAUGUAGAAACUCUAUCAGAUGCUGGAAUCAGUGCUGUAAUCAAUUUUCAAAGUGCAACUGAAGCAGAAAAUUGGAGAAUCAAUUACAAAAUGAUCACCAAAUCAUGCCAAAAGUUCAAUAUCUUAAUGGUUAACUAUCCUAUAAGGAAUGCAGAUUCGUUUGAUAUGAGGAAGAAAUUGCCAUUCUCUGUGGGGCUCUUGUUGCGCUUGCUUAAAAGGAACCAUCGUGUUUUCAUUACCUGUACUACCAGUUUUGAUCGAUCUCCUGCUUGUGUGAUUGCAUAUCUACACUGGAUGACUGAUACUUCCCUUCACGCAGCUUAUAAUUUUGUAGUUGGAUUGCAUUCUUGCAAACCUGACAGAGCAGCAAUUGCUUGGGCAACCUGGGAUCUUAUAGCUAUGGUAGAAAAUGGCAAACAUGACGGACCAGCAACUCAUGCUGUGACCUUUAUAUGGAAUGGGCAUGAGGGGGAGGAUGUAUGCUUGGUCGGAGAUUUUACUGGAAAUUGGAAAGAACCAAUUAAGGCAACUCACAAGCUUGGACCAAGAUGUGAAACUGAGGUUAGAUUACCACAAGGGAAGUACUCCUAUAAGUAUAUCAUUAAUGGGCAAUGGCGACAUUCAACAUCUUCACCGACAGAAAGAGAUGAAAGGGGGAACGUAAAUAAUGUAAUUGUUGUUGGUGAUACAGCCAGUGUGAGGCCUUCUAUUCAACAACAAAAGAAGGAUGCAAAUAUUAUAAAGGUGAUAGAGAGACCAUUAACAGAAAAUGAACGCUUUACGUUGGCAAAGGCUGCUCGGUGCAUUGCGUUCUCUGUCUGUCCCAUCAGACUAUGCCCCAAGUAAUCUGCAAGAGUACAGUGACAUGAUGACUGUUGAUACGUUCGUUCACAGCUAAAACUUUUUGAAAUACUUUGUCAAUGCUAAAAGUCAUUAUAGCAUCAAUCCUAUAUCUUAAAGGCAAAUGUCAUGAUGGGUGAUUUGCCAUUAUGAUAUCCAAUGUUCUCCUUUAUUCGAGUGUGGGAUAACUCAAAAAUAUUGGUGUUAGCGUGAUGAAUCAAAUCUGAAGAUGACAGGACAAAGUACUCUUGCAUGUAAAAAAGUGUAAUUUGAUGAACUAAGGUGGACUGCUAACAUGCGUAACACAUGAAAUGUUUUCAAAAGAGAGAUACUCUGUAUUUGGAUAUGCAGGUAUUAUCAUAUCAACUUCAGUGUUGUGCCUGUCAGUUUUAUUGAAAAUGGCAAAAGAAAGGUCGCUGCAUGGAGAGUGGUGGUGUGAUAUUUGCCGUACGUUCUCAUACUUGGGGUAGUUUACUAAUCUUUAGAUUCUAAUACGUUUUGUUACUUAGUUUUGUUUGCUUAUUUGGAUUAGUUAUGAGCU
Non-coding RNA from Carica papaya (papaya), 2465 nucleotides. Lineage: Eukaryota; Viridiplantae; Streptophyta; Magnoliopsida; Brassicales; Caricaceae. The record is from RefSeq and is a predicted model, not a curated record.